GAUGAACGCUGGCGGCGUGCCUAAUACAUGCGAGUCGAGCGAACAGAUAAGGAGCUUGCUCCUUUGACGUUAGCGGCGGACGGGUGAGUAACACGUGGAUAACCUACCUAUAAGACUGGGAUAACUUCGGGAAACCGGAGCUAAUACCGGAUAACAUAUUGAACCGCAUGGUUCAAUAGUGAAAGGCGGCUUUGCUGUCACUUAUAGAUGGAUCCGCGCCGUAUUAGCUAGUUGGUAAGGUAACGGCUUACCAAGGCAACGAUACGUAGCCGACCUGAGAGGGGGGUCGGCCAAACUGGAACUGGAACACGGCCCAGACUCCCACGGGGGGCAGCAGUGGGGAAUUUUCCGCAAUGGGGGAAAGCCUGACGGGGAAACGCCGGGUGAGUGAUGAAGGUUUUGGGAUCGUAAAACUCUUUUAUCAGGAAAAAAAAAAUGUGUAAGUAACUUUGCACACUUUGACGGAACUUGAUCAGAAAGCCCCGGCAAACUACGU
RNAcentral lists this ribosomal RNA (496 nucleotides) under uncultured bacterium. Its description in RNAcentral is "partial 16S ribosomal RNA". It matches the Rfam family "Bacterial small subunit ribosomal RNA", at positions 28 to 506 of the family's 1533-position model. The record is from RNAcentral.